GCAGGGAUGACGGUAGCUGGUAACCGGCUGGGUUGUGUCCCCGGAAUCGCCCGUUCGAACCGGGCUCCCUGUUCCA
RNAcentral lists this transfer RNA (76 nucleotides) under Mesorhizobium phage Cp1R7A-A1. RNAcentral's name for it is "tRNA-His". Lineage: Duplodnaviria; Heunggongvirae; Uroviricota; Caudoviricetes. The record is from RNAcentral.